This 82-nucleotide transfer RNA is filed under the name Vischeria cf. polyphem. RNAcentral describes it as "Eustigmatos cf. polyphem tRNA-Tyr". It matches the Rfam family "tRNA". Rfam says of the family: Transfer RNA (tRNA) molecules are approximately 80 nucleotides in length. Their secondary structure includes four short double-helical elements and three loops (D, anti-codon, and T loops). Lineage: Eukaryota; Eustigmatophyceae; Eustigmatales; Chlorobotryaceae. The record is from RNAcentral.
GGAGAGGUGACUGAGUGGCUAAAGGUGGCAGACUGUAAAUCUGUUGGUUAAUCCUACAUAGGUUCGAAUCCUAUUCUCUCUA